Molecule: ribosomal RNA, 296 nt
Filed under: Wolbachia pipientis
Lineage: Bacteria; Pseudomonadati; Pseudomonadota; Alphaproteobacteria; Rickettsiales; Anaplasmataceae
Description: partial 16S ribosomal RNA
Rfam family: Bacterial small subunit ribosomal RNA
Source: RNAcentral
UACGGAGAGGGCUAGCGUUAUUCGGAAUUAUUGGGCGUAAAGGGCGCGUAGGCUGGUUAAUGAGUUAAAAGUGAAAUCCCGAGGCUUAACCUUGGAAUUGCUUUUAAAACUAUUAAUCUAGAGAUUGAAAGAGGAUAGAGGAAUUCCUGAUGUAGAGGUAAAAUUCGUAAAUAUUAGGAGGAACACCAGUGGCGAAGGCGUCUAUCUGGUUCAAAUCUGACGCUGAAGCGCGAAGGCGUGGGGAGCAAACAGGAUUAGAUACCCUGGUAGUCCACGCUGUAAACGAUGAGUGCUAA